RNAcentral lists this unclassified non-coding RNA (416 nucleotides) under plant metagenome. RNAcentral's name for it is "partial contains 5.8S ribosomal RNA, internal transcribed spacer 2, and large subunit ribosomal RNA". The stretch from base 1 to 105 matches the Rfam family "5.8S ribosomal RNA", at positions 50 to 154 of the family's 154-position model. The record is from RNAcentral.
GAAGUGCGAUAAGCAAUGCGAAUUGCAGAAUUCCGCGAGUCAUCAGAUCUUUGAACGCAAAUGGCGCCGGAGGGAUAUCCUUCUGGCAUGUCUGUUUCAGUGUCUGAGAGGUUUCACCAACAUCUUAAUGUGAUUGACAGCAGCAGCAGCAGCAAGCAAUUGUUGUGGUUGGUGUUGUCUCUCAUGAAAGAUGCGCGAGUGGAUCUUUCGGUCCAAUGAAGUGGUCACAUCACUCGUAUGUGAUUUCAUUGGGAGCACCGAAUUAUCCGCCAUGCUCGCGGUGUCAUCAUAUAAUAUAUGACGAAAGCAAGAAAGAAAGAAAGAGCUUCUUUCUUCUUCUUCUUCUUUGGUUGUAUUUUUUUUCUCUCUAUACACCCUGCAUCUGAGAUAGGCAAGGUCACCCGCUGAACUUAAGC